ACUCCUACGGGAGGCAGCAGUAGGGAAUCUUGCGCAAUGGGCGAAAGCCUGACGCAGCGACGCCGCGUGUGGGAUGAAUGCCUUCGGGUUGUAAACCACUUUCAGCAGGGACGAAGCGAAAGUGACGGUACCUGCAGAAGAAGCCCCGGCUAACUACGUGCCAGCAGCCGCGGUAAU
Molecule: ribosomal RNA, 177 nt
Filed under: uncultured bacterium
Lineage: Bacteria
Description: partial 16S ribosomal RNA
Rfam family: Bacterial small subunit ribosomal RNA
Source: RNAcentral